Molecule: ribosomal RNA, 486 nt
Filed under: Puerulus angulatus
Lineage: Eukaryota; Metazoa; Arthropoda; Malacostraca; Decapoda; Palinuridae
Description: partial 16S ribosomal RNA
Rfam family: Archaeal large subunit ribosomal RNA
Source: RNAcentral
AAAGUCUAGCCUGCCCAGUGACGUUGAGUUUAAAGGCCGCGGUAUACUGACCGUGCGAAGGUAGCAUAAUGAUUUGUUCUUUAAUUGAGGACUUGUAUGAAUGGUUGAACAAGAAACUUUCUGUCUCUCAUUUAUUUCUUGAAUUUUACAUUUAAGUGAAAAGGCUUAAAUGGACUAGGGGGACGAUAAGACCCUAUAAAUCUUUAUAUUUGCUCAGCCAAGAAAUGUGUAUUAUGGCUAAAAAUAUAUUUUUUAGCGGGGCAAUAUUUUGUUGGGGCGACAGGAGUAUAAUAGGUAACUGCUUUAAAAGUUUAGUUAGAUAUAUUUAAUUUGGGAAUUAAGAGAUCCUUUACUAAGGAUUGUUAAAACAAGUUACUUUAGGGAUAACAGCGUAAUCUCUUUUGAGAGUUCAUAUCGAAAGAGAGGAUUGCGACCUCGAUGUUGAAUUAAGGAUCCUUUGUGGUGUAGCCGUUACAAAAGGAGGUC